RNAcentral lists this small RNA (653 nucleotides) under Trichoderma asperellum. RNAcentral describes it as "eukaryotic LSU rRNA". The stretch from base 239 to 392 matches the Rfam family "5.8S ribosomal RNA". The record is from RNAcentral. Lineage: Eukaryota; Fungi; Ascomycota; Sordariomycetes; Hypocreales; Hypocreaceae.
GCGUUGCGAAGUGGGAAACUUCUUCCGGUAGGGUGAACCUGCGGAGGGAUCAUUACCGAGUUUACAACUCCCAAACCCAAUGUGAACGUUACCAAACUGUUGCCUCGGCGGGGUCACGCCCCGGGUGCGUCGCAGCCCCGGAACCAGGCGCCCGCCGGAGGAACCAACCAAACUCUUUCUGUAGUCCCCUCGCGGACGUAUUUCUUACAGCUCUGAGCAAAAAUUCAAAAUGAAUCAAAACUUUCAACAACGGAUCUCUUGGUUCUGGCAUCGAUGAAGAACGCAGCGAAAUGCGAUAAGUAAUGUGAAUUGCAGAAUUCAGUGAAUCAUCGAAUCUUUGAACGCACAUUGCGCCCGCCAGUAUUCUGGCGGGCAUGCCUGUCCGAGCGUCAUUUCAACCCUCGAACCCCUCCGGGGGAUCGGCGUUGGGGAUCGGGACCCCUCACACGGGUGCCGGCCCCUAAAUACAGUGGCGGUCUCGCCGCAGCCUCUCCUGCGCAGUAGUUUGCACAACUCGCACCGGGAGCGCGGCGCGUCCACGUCCGUAAAACACCCAACUUUCUGAAAUGUUGACCUCGGAUCAGGUAGGAAUACCCGCUGAACUUAAGCAUAUCAUAAGCCGGAAGAAAGAAGGAAAUUAUUUUUAAAAUUUU